UACGUAGGGGGCAAGCGUUGUCCGGAAUCAUUGGGCGUAAAGAGCGUGUAGGCGGCUCGGUAAGUCCGCUGUGAAAGUCCAGGGCUCAACCCUGGAAUGCCGGUGGAAACUGUCGAGCUAGAGUCCGGAAGAGGCGAGUGGAAUUCCUGGUGUAGCGGUGAAAUGCGCAGAUAUCAGGAGGAACACCAAUGGCGAAGGCAGCUCGCUGGGACGGUACUGACGCUGAUGCACGAAAGCUAGGGGAGCAAACAGG
This 253-nucleotide ribosomal RNA is filed under the name uncultured bacterium. RNAcentral describes it as "partial 16S ribosomal RNA". It matches the Rfam family "Bacterial small subunit ribosomal RNA", at positions 524 to 776 of the family's 1533-position model. The record is from RNAcentral.